AUACAUCACACAGAUAAAUAGAAAUACAAUUAUAAACCUUGUGACACUUAGUGCAGGAUGAUGUCACUACUUGAGGUGACACUUAAUAAACUCCAGUGAAAGAUGAUAAACACAUAAACCGCCUUCUUAUGAACCUGGAUGAAUGACCCGUGAUCAACAAUUCAUACAUUAACUAAUUUAAUCAUGUUUGUUCUGGUAGUCGUGACAUUGACAUAUUUUAUCAACAGUGACUUUAAUGCGGCCUUUUGGAUUUUAGACUCAAACUCCAACAAACACCUCACAGCUGAAUGUUUUAACAAAAGAAUCGGUUCUAGUGACGCUGAUUUAAAAAAGAAAAAGGUGAAAUAAAAGAAAACAAAAGGAUUAAAUGAAAUAAACUUUUGAUACUUUGUGCUUUAGAGAAAACUCUGCAGUCAGAGCGUGAGAAGAAGAAGCACAAGGCUUCUCAGAAUAACCUUUCCUGUUCCCCUUCACACAUAAAAAAAGACAUGUUGCUGUUGGUUGUGUGGUGUCACAUGACCACGUUCACACCAGGGCUCAUCCGCUUCUACAGACGUGUGAUACUCUGUGAAAAACCCGAGAAGCAUCCGGCCUCCAGUCGAAUGCGUCGUAAAGGAGAGGACCACAAAGGAGGCGCGUACCUUCUUGUUCUCCUCUCUGUAGGCCGCCGUGGCUUUACGUACAUGGAGAAGCAGCCUUUUUCAGCUCCACGUAUCUGGAACAAAGUCUCAGAAAGCUGCAGGUCUGCUGGGUCCCUCAGCUCCAUUAAAUCCAAAUCAAAGACUUUUCUUUUUGCUGCUGCCUUAAAUUUCUCGCUCUCUGCUGGUCAGCUGCAGCUUCACGCUGUGUGUUUCUCCGUCGCUCUGGAGACGCCGGCGGUUCACCACCACAACCACCAGAGGUCUCAGAUCCUGCAGAGGAGAGAGGACCACAGGCAUCAUCAAGUGUGGAGGAAACCUUUUUACGGAAGCAGUGAGAGAGAAGAGCACAGGUACUCCGUUACGCUCCAUUACAUCACUGCAACAACUUCUCACCUACAAACUCACCUCCGGACCAGACAAACUUCACACGACUGUACAGAGUGUA
This is a long non-coding RNA of Gasterosteus aculeatus aculeatus (three-spined stickleback), 1086 nucleotides long. Lineage: Eukaryota; Metazoa; Chordata; Actinopteri; Perciformes; Gasterosteidae. The record is from Ensembl.